Molecule: long non-coding RNA, 1031 nt
Filed under: Nicotiana benthamiana
Lineage: Eukaryota; Viridiplantae; Streptophyta; Magnoliopsida; Solanales; Solanaceae
Description: long non-coding RNA (NBEN_LNC041848)
Source: RNAcentral
GGGGUUCCAAAAAAAGAGAAUAGUAUAUACUUGAUAUACACUCUAGAUAUACAGGGACAGAAUUCAGUUUGGAGAGAGUAAAAAGAUAGAACAAAAUUUUCUGAAAUAUUGAGAGUGGAAGGAAACCAGAGAGAGUUCAAAGCUAGAAAUAUAAAGAAAAAUAUAUGUUUGGACUAUUUUUCUUCUUCAUUUUACUGGUUUUCUCCGUGUUGUUGGGAUUUCUGGAUUGAGGUGUUGAAGCUACUGUGUUGGACUUUCCGCUGCUGUGUUUUUUGCUUUUUGUUGUUGCUGAUUGGCUACCACAUUUUUCUGUUAUACAUACCAGGUACAUGUGCUGAAACUCGAUGUAUGUAAAUAUCCAGUUGAAAAUGAAUGAAGUGGAGGCCUAUUGUUGAUUUACUGCUUUCAUUAUACUGUAAUAACUGUACUGAUGGAUUGUUAAUCAUAAGUUUGCGCAUUUGAACCGUUAAGUGUGUGUUAGAAAUUCAUACGAAUUUAGUUGAGUAUUUGUUGUAAUGAUUCAAUGCUGGACUAACAGAAUGGUUUCUAUUAGUUUAGUUAAUUUCCGAUUUUCCUAGAUCAGUAUAAAUGGUGUUUUCAUCUAUGAUUCAGUAGGCUGUAGACUGUUAAAUUAGUGUGAUACUUCUUCUGAUCAUGGGAGCUUUAUAUUUAGUAGUGAUGAUGUGAGUUAAUCUAUAACUUUGAGUUUGAGUGGUUGUGCGUGGGUUCGAAAUCACAAAAUUAAAAGUAGAUAUGAUAUUUGAAAUCAGAAAUUAUUUUUAAGUAUAUGUAAUUCGUAAGGUUAAUUUACGCAAUCCAUUUUCAUCCAGCAUCCUUAAUUCUCGAGUUUCAUAUGUGGUCACGUUAGUGUUUAAUCAAAGUUCAUGAGUCAGCAUUUUAAUAAAAAUGAGUCAUAGAAGGGAAUUUGAAAUUUGAACUAGUAUGCACCAUGUUUGAAAUUGUGAUCAUUGGCAGUUUACGUGGGUCAUGAAAUCUGAAAUCAGUUGCUUUCCAACUCAUGUUUAAUGCAG